This 449-nucleotide ribosomal RNA is filed under the name uncultured bacterium. Its description in RNAcentral is "partial 16S ribosomal RNA". It matches the Rfam family "Bacterial small subunit ribosomal RNA", at positions 29 to 523 of the family's 1533-position model. The record is from RNAcentral.
AAUGAACGCUGGCGGCAGGCCUAACACAUGCAAGUCGAACGGAUCCUUCGGGAUUAGUGGCGGACGGGUGAGUAACGCGUGGGAACAUACCCAAAGGUACGGAAUAGCCUCGGGAAACUGGGAGUAAUACCAUAUGUGCUCGAAAGAGGAAAGAUUUAUCGCCUUUGGAUUGGCCCGCGUUGGAUUAGGUAGUUGGUGGGGUAAUGGCCUACCAAGCCGACGAUCCAUAGCUGGUUUGAGAGGAUGAUCAGCCACACUGGGACUGAGACACGGCCUAGACUCCUACGGGAGGCAGCAGUGGGGAAUCUUAGACAAUGGGGGAAACCCUGAUCUAGCCAUGCCGCGUGAUCGAUGAAGGCCUUAGGGUUGUAAAGAUCUUUCAGGUGGGAAGAUAAUGACUGUACCACCAGAAGGAGCCCCGGCUAACUCCGUGCCAGCCGCCGCAGUAA